GGGUUGCUAGACUAAGGUCUUCCAAUAACUCUACAUUAUUUUACUAGUCAUGCUAGAUAGUCCUCAAGCAAGCAGUUGUUAAAUCCUUGCUGAAUGAGCAGUCUCUUGAAUCUAGUGAUCUUACUAAUUGUUGCUAUGUCCUUAACCUGUAAACUGAAAAAAACUGUAAGCAACAGCAAAGCAAAUUAAUGGCUUUUAUUCAACCAAAUAUAUGAUGGAUGAUUUCUGGUGCACUGAUGGAGAUGAACAGACAACUAGAUGUGUCUCAGAUCUGCCACAGCUACCAGUCAAAUACGGAUCUUCAACUGUGCUCUGGUGGGACACAGGAGGAACAUGGAUCUGGAUAUAGGAGAUGGUCUUGUAGGUUGGGUAAAACAUUUAUCUAUUGAAAAGUCAAUGUGAAGUGCACAUCUUCAAAGUAAACUUAGCCAAAACAUGUCACAGGGAACUUAAUAGCUUUAAAGAUUUGUCAUCUGCUUCAUUAAGAUGUAAAUAUUCACGGAGAUCAGAAGUACACGGAGAAGUGAUUCAGCGUCAUCUAUGAAGAAAGGGAACAAAUAGAAACUGAAACCAAAGUUAAUCAUUUAUUCAGCUAUGACAUCCGGCUGGUGUUGAACCACGCUUAGCCAAUGGGCAAACAGAUUACUCAAAUGCCUUUAUAUUGCAAUGCAGUUACUUAGACUAUAAAACCAUUAGUGAAUGAGUAGAGAUGUCUUACAAAAAGACCAGAAAAUUCCACAAUUCUCUUUCUGUAUUAGAGGAAUUGCAGAAUUAUGCAAUGUCAGGCAAAGAGGUUACACCCUACCAAACAGAAUAACUUCAAAACAGGGAGCUCCAACUGAACGCAGGUUGAAUUUGGUUAUCAGUUGCUUAAACUUGUCAAAAUUCCAGAGUUGAGAUAUUCCAAGAGGUUGACGUGUGGAGAUUUAUAGACUGUGAAAGCUGGAAGUAAGACUCAUGAUAAUUAUAAUCACUUAAAAAUACAAAAGAAAUGCCCUGUAUCUUCAAUGGAUUAUGGAAAAAGUCAGAUAUAAAGUGCAGCUUGUACUCUGGACCACAUUAGCUUAUUUAGUCCAUACUGAUUUAGUCCAUAAUAGGGGUCACGGAUGAGCAUUCACAUCUUACUCCCCAUCAGUUCCCGUCCUGGCUUGGGGAAGCUAAUGAUCCAACCAGAAGACCAAAUUUGGUGAUGAAUACUUGUCACUUGCCCCAUGAGGCACAUUGCACAUAUGCUAAAAAGAAGUCCAUAACCACUUUUCCAAAGGAGUCAGUGGGCCUUUCAUCCAAACUGAAUAAAAAAUUGUCUGAUGCCUUCAGCAAAUGACUUCUC
Long non-coding RNA from Mauremys mutica (yellowpond turtle), 1330 nucleotides. RefSeq lists it as uncharacterized. The record is from RefSeq and is a predicted model, not a curated record. Lineage: Eukaryota; Metazoa; Chordata; Testudines; Geoemydidae. The transcript is spliced from 3 exons.